CUGGCAAGGUGGCACAUGAGUCUGAGGUAACAAGUUCACAAGUUCAAGGUCAGCCUGGCCUACGUGGGACGAUCCUAUCCCAAAGAAAACAAUGGGAAACUCAAGAACAUCCUCAAAUGAUGCUGUCAAUGAGACAGGAAUGCAGCCAUCACAGGGAUAACAUUGAGGUUUUUAUUUAGGAAAGCAUUUAUUACGGUGAAUGACUUCCCGGACUAUGAUGGAGGCAGAUGAAAGCUAGUGAGAGCUGUUCUAGUGAAGCCGAAGGUCACACAUGGAGUGUUCACAGCUGCCUUUACACUGGAUAUGACUCAGGAUUAGGACCCAAUGGGGGAGGAGCUAAAUGAAGCUAGCCCCUUCUUCAUGUAGAAGUUGUGAAGAGGAAGUGAUUUCUAAAUAGUGUUCUUCCAGUUUGUUUGGAUCUCAGGCGACAGUAAUGCUUUGCAGGACAUCUGAGAGUCAUCCUCACAGACAGACCCUUCCAUCAAAGCUACACAAACCUUCUCGAUGAGCUCGAUGCAGGCGGCCAGGUCCAUCCCGAAGUCGAUGAACUCCCACUCGAUGCCUUCCUUCUUGUACUCCUCCUGCUCCAGCACGAACAUGUGGUGGUUGAAGAACUGCUGCAGCUUCUCGUUGGUGAAGUUGAUGCACAGCU
Molecule: long non-coding RNA, 652 nt
Organism: Alexandromys fortis (reed vole)
Lineage: Eukaryota; Metazoa; Chordata; Mammalia; Rodentia; Cricetidae
Exons: 3
Source: RefSeq, a predicted model, not a curated record